GUGGAUUUGAGUUUUUCUGAUGACAGUAAAGCCACUUCUGAACGCUAGAAUUUUUCAGUGGUUAUUUUUUCAGGAGUUACAGCCUUCACUUAAAAAGAACAUGCAAUUCCUUUAUCCAUAAAUGAAUAUCAAAAAUAAGAACAAAACAUCAACACUUGCUCAUAUGUCUUUUAGUAUAUUUACCCCUGUAUUACUAGUAUUAAAGUCAUUUUAGUUUCAAACCACCAGUCUAAUUGUAAACAUGAAGUCAAAUAUGAGUCUUCUGAGGGACUUUCUGUUUUGAAUCCACCAUUUCCUUCACAAGAAAUGUCUGUACCAAGCAAGAAAUAUGACAGUUGUUAUCCAUUCGAU
RNAcentral lists this long non-coding RNA (351 nucleotides) under Mytilus galloprovincialis (Mediterranean mussel). Lineage: Eukaryota; Metazoa; Mollusca; Bivalvia; Mytilida; Mytilidae. The record is from RNAcentral.